Molecule: long non-coding RNA, 2199 nt
Organism: Zingiber officinale
Lineage: Eukaryota; Viridiplantae; Streptophyta; Magnoliopsida; Zingiberales; Zingiberaceae
Exons: 6
Source: RefSeq, a predicted model, not a curated record
GAAAAUUGAAGGAAGAUUGGGAUCACACGUAAAGGUGGAAAUUAUUGGAUGGAAGGUAAUGAAUCCUUCCACAAAACCUUCACUUACUCUAAUUGAAGCUACAACAUUGGGAGAAGUCGACAAAGGAAUUAGGGAGCUGAAAAAUGAUCCUCUUGUAGAAUUGCUUUCACCAAAAUGGAUUUUCACUUCUGCAUAUACAACCAAGUGAAAUCUUUUUGUUAGAGGAGGCUGGUGUAUUGGCGUGCAAGGUUGCCUGUUUGAAUGAGUAGAAUUGGCAGCUAGUGGCUUUCUCCAGACAGCUCUUGAUUUUGUUUGGACUGUCCAUAGAUUUCCUUCCUCUUCCAAUUUCCUAUCUUGAAUAAUUGCAGGAGCAUCUACUUUGAGAGCAAUAGAGGCAAUUGUUACUUAACCUGAAAUCAAACAUUGCAGUAAAUCUUCUAAACCAUAUCAAGAGUCUACCAAGGAGAAGCGUCGUUCACAAAUAGCUCAAGGUUCCAUUUUAUCAUUCAAGAUUAUGAAUGUUUCCUUCUCAAAUUUUUAUUUUUGAUAAAUUUUUAUACUGUCAUCUCUUUGUCAGAUCUUGUUUGGUUUAUUAUGUCUAUUGAGCAUCAAGAAUAUAUAUUGUUGUUUAUAUUGCAUGUUUUUAUAGCUCUUGUAGACUUGAUGAAACUAAAAGUGUAAUAUUUGAAAACUAAAAAGAUCUGUAUGUUAUUAGUUAAUUCUAACAAGUAGUAUAUUGUAAGUGGCUACAAAACAUUGCUAUUUUGAGUUUCUUCUAGUGUUUCACUUUUGCCUAUCUCGGAAAUAUAUGAAUUAUACAUAGUUUUUAUUGGAACCACCAGAUGAUGUAUUGUGAAAGUUGGGACAUUGAAUUGAUUUUUCGCCAUAAUAAUUUUUAAACAAUCUUCCUACACAAAAUAUUUUUUCUUUUUAUGAUAUUGCAAAUAAACUUUUUUUUGUGCAAAACUAUUAUAGAUUUUAAUAUGGAUUGCUUGAACCCUGUGAGUAGGAUUGUACUGAGCAACAUUAUUUGAAAACAACAUAGUGUCCUCAGGCACAUUAUCAAUAAUUCAAGUUUUUCAUUGUUUAUAUUUUUGAAGGUGCAAGGCUUUGAAAUUGAAUAAGAUGUAGUCACCUGGUUGCUUAUAAUCUAAUACUUUUUGAUAGGCUGAUAUGUUCCAUUUAGAGAAUGUUUUCCAAAGUGGAACAUGGAAAGACAAUUAUGCUUAGAACAAAAUGGUGUUGCAUUCGCAUCAUUGUCAAUGAGUUAGUUUUCAUCUAGAGAAUAACCAUGCUUUCUAAUCUUUUUUUUUAACACAUGAGCUACACUAGAUAGUGAAUGGAGUCAUUGAAAUGGUAAAGAAAACUAUUUGGUAAUGACUGGAGUUUGGUUAUACAUGCAACUUAUAUUCAAUACACAAGCCUAUUGUAAUUUAUGCUAUUAUCAUGCUAAUCAUGCUUGCAUAUUCUUUGCUCUUUUGCAAAAAAUAAAUUUAAGGAUUUGCUAAACAUGCAUAUGUAUGCAGAUUUAUCCUUUUUCCAAUUGUUGUUUAGUUUUUUUUUUUGCAUCUUUGUGUAAUUUAUGUUUUUUACACAAAGUACACAAAGUUAUUGGCAGGCUACUAGUUUUAAUAUCAUAAUCUUUGUUUUUACUUUUCUUUCAUUGCCUUCAUCAUGGUUCUACUCAUCCUAAAAGGGUUUGAUGAUGUUUGAUAUAUAGAGUUGAGGAACCAUUUGAAACUUUUAAUUCUUUUUUUCUUGAGCCACAAAGGCUAGGCCAAACACUUGGAAUUCCUAAGAAUAGUGUAAGGACAAACACCGAAGCAGAAAUAUGUGCGUCUAAGUUGUGCAACCUUCUUCUAAAAGCUGUAUGGAAUGCUCCUGCAUUAGGUGGCUCAUCAUGCAUUAUAUAUCCAUAUUGUUUACAAUAAAAUCGUGGGAUGCUUAUGAGAAGAGGAUUACAUUAGUGACCUAGAUGCACUUAUUAUGCCUAAGAAUUCUGGAAUUCUUCCAAUGGUCCUAGUAGCCAUUAUUCUUGUUGGCCAGCAAGAGAUAUAACAACAAAUUCCAAGGAUUCACAAGAUGACCUCUUCUGGUCCAAGAUAUCAAGAGAUGAAUACAUGAGAUAUGCAUUCGAGGAGUGUUAUAUAUAUCAUAGUAUUAAAGUUAUUUUGAUGUUGGUACUUGGACAUCUGUUAA